UCGAAGUCGAGCGGAUGAAGGUAGCUUGCUACUGGAUUCAGCGGCGGACGGGUGAGUAAUGCUUAGGAAUCUGCCUAUUAGUGGGGGACAACGUUCCGAAAGGAGCGCUAAUACCGCAUACGUCCUACGGGAGAAAGCAGGGGACCUUUGGGCCUUGCGCUAAUAGAUGAGCCUAAGUCGGAUUAGCUAGUUGGUAGGGUAAAGGCCUACCAAGGCGACGAUCUGUAGCGGGUCUGAGAGGAUGAUCCGCCACACUGGGACUGAGACACGGCCCAGACUCCUACGGGAGGCAGCAGUGGGGAAUAUUGGACAAUGGGGGGAACCCUGAUCCAGCCAUGCCGCGUGUGUGAAGAAGGCCUUUUGGUUGUAAAGCACUUUAAGCGAGGAGGAGGCUACCUAGAUUAAUACUUUAGGAUAGUGGACGUUACUCGCAGAAUAAGCACCGGCUAACUCUGUGGGAGCAGCCGCGGUAAUACAGAGGGUGCGAGCGUUAAUCGGAUUUACUGGGCGUAAAGCGUGCGUAGGCGGCCAAUUAAGUCAAAUGUGAAAUCCCCGAGCUUAACUUGGGAAUUGCAUUCGAUACUGGUUGGCUAGAGUAUGGGAGAGGAUGGUAGAAUUCCAGGUGUAGCGGUGAAAUGCGUAGAGAUCUGGAGGAAUACCGAUGGCGAAGGCAGCCAUCUGGCCUAAUACUGACGCUGAGGUACGAAAGCAUGGGGAGCAAACAGGAUUAGAUACCCUGGUAGUCCAUGCCGUAAACGUUGUCUACUAGCCGUUGGGGCCCUUGAGGCUUUAGUGGCGCAGCUAACGCGAUAAGUAGACCGCCUGGGGAGUACGGUCGCAAGACUAAAACUCAUAUGAAUUGACGGGGGCCCGCACAAGCGGUGGAGCAUGUGGUUUAAUUCGAUGCAACGCGAAGAACCUUACCUGGCCUUGACAUACAGAGAACUAUCCAGAGAUGGAUUGGUGCCUUCGGGAACUCUGAUACAGGUGCUGCAUGGCUGUCGUCAGCUCGUGUCGUGAGAUGUUGGGUUAAGUCCCGCAACGAGCGCAACCCAAAUCCUUAUUUGCCAGCACUUCGGGUGGGAACUUUAAGGAUACUGCCAGUGACAAACUGGAGGAUGGCGGGGACGACGUCAAGUCAUCAUGGGCCUUACGGCCAGGGCUACACACGUGCUACAAUGGUCGGUACAAAGGGUUGCUACACAGCGAUGUGAUCGAUUUCUCAAAAAGCCGAUCGUAGUCCGGAUUGGAGUCACCAUG
Molecule: ribosomal RNA, 1260 nt
Filed under: Acinetobacter sp.
Lineage: Bacteria; Pseudomonadati; Pseudomonadota; Gammaproteobacteria; Moraxellales; Moraxellaceae
Description: bacterial SSU rRNA
Rfam family: Bacterial small subunit ribosomal RNA
Source: RNAcentral